AUUAACUGCCAGAUGAAACAAUCUGCAGAGAAAACCUCUGAGCACAUUCCAGGCAGCAUAAAAGGAUUAAACUUUAUAUCAAAGACUAACUUUACAAGCAAGGAAACAAGCAGAAGAGAGCUUUUCUGUCCCUGAAGUUUCUUUAACUGGGGAACCUAGUCUUUCUUUUUACAACUAUAUGUAAGCCAGCUUAAAGUGUAACUGCUAAGACAGUGAGAGGGACCAAAUCUCAGUGAUACCAAAAAAUUUCCAAAUAUGUGACUAAUAUCAGGUUCUCUCUCAUUUGAUACAGGUUAGAAAGAAAAAGCACAAUGAAGGGAAGAGACAGAGAAAGAGAAGAGUGAAAGUUUAACCCAAGUCCAGCUGCUUUCCUUCAAGCAAAAAAGUCAGACCAAUGUGUGAAGGAUAAACUGAAGGCCCUUAAAUCAAGAGUUGCAAGGUUUUUGCUGUUAUUCAGAAAUGGGGAGUAUCUGUGUUGAAGUAUGACCUGAAGAGGAAGAUGGGAUACAAAUGGCAUUCCAGAGAUGGAAGAUGCUGAACUUGGUGACCAAUUAGAUGUGGCUAGAUUACUGGCUUCAGUGGCUGGGUUGCUAAAGGACCGUUUUUCCUUUAUAGGAAAUGCAGGAGGAAAAGGAAGUCUGGUUGGAAUGGGGGACAGGGGGCAGAAAGAAUAAGUUGAUUUUCAAUAUGCCAAGCUUGAUGCAGGGAUAUAAUGGCUAGGAUCUAGAGACAUCAUUCAUUCAAUAAUAAUUUAUUACAUUUCUACUAUGUGCUGGUCACUGUCCACCAGGACAUUUAAUGGGCCCAGCAAAAUGUUCUAGAGUGGCAAUAUGGAUGAAGGAAUCACUAUGUAAAUGAAAAUUGAUGCCAUGGUUAGGGACAGUAAGGGUAAGUGCAUAUGUUGAGAAGGAAAGCCUGAGGACACAGCUGGAGAGCACCACUACUGGAGGACAAGGCUAAAGAAAAAGCCCAGGAAGUAUACUGAGAAGCAGAGGCUUGAACUACACUGAACCCAAAUGAAGAGCUGCUGAGUUACAGAAAACAAAGAAAAACCACUAUAAGAAAGAGAAAGUGGCCAGGCGCGGUGGCUCACGCCUGUAAUCUCAGCACUUUGGGAGGACGAGGCAGGCCGAUCACGAGGUCAGGAGAUCAACCAUCCUGGCUAACAUGGUGAAACUCCGUCUCUACUAAAAAAUACAAAAAAUUAGCCGCGCGUGGUGGCAGACACCUGUAGUCCCAGCUACUCGGGAGGCUGAGGCAGGAGAAUGGUGUGAACCUGGGAGGCGGAGCUUGCAGUGAGCCGAGAUUGCCCUACUGCACUCCAGCCUGGGUGACAGAGCGAGACUCCAAAAAAAAAAAAAAAAAAAAAAAAAGAAAGAAAGAGAAAGCAACUUCUAUAAAAUAUAGAUGUCCCAUUUAUAUAAGUUAACAUCAAUUUGCCAAUAUAGAAGUAACUGACAAGAGUCGAUCCAGUGAUAUAGAGAAGAUGGUAGCCACGUUGAAGGGUUGAAGGGUGGACUGGUGUGGGGAGGAGCGGGUGAAGAGAGACAACCUCCUUGGGUUACUUAGCUGAGUCCAUAAGAAAUGUUGUUGAGAAAGAUUAACAAUUUUUAAACACAUGUUACUCCCCAUUUUUACCUUAUUUUCAUACCCCUGCAUUCUUAUCUACUUUCCUAUAUGUCAUAUUUGCUAACUUGACUUAUGGUCACCUACAAACACUAAUAUUAGGUACCAGAAGCUCUCUGGAGAGUAGGUCUGAAGGAAGCAGAGCGGGGAGAGAGUGUGCAGUCCUGGGAAACCCAGGAAAAUGGAGAUCCAUGGUAAUGUCCACAGCUGCUACUUUGGAGAGUCUACAAUAGGUCUGAUCAUGAACAUCCACUUCACAUGCAUUUUAAAUUGUUUUAUUUUUUUCUUUUAAGAAAACAACUUACAAGGUAAAUACAAUCAUUUUCAUUUGACAGGAGAGGGGAGUGAGGAUCAGGGAGGCCAAAUCACUAGCCUCAGCUCACACCCACAGUAAGUGACAGAGUUGGGGCUAGAACCCCAGACCUUUUAAAAUAUCACAGGAAGGAAGAAACAGCUGAGUAAUUUGGAGACGUAAAGAGAGCAGAAAAUCAAUUUGGUCUAACAAGUGUGUUUUUGUUAUAGCUAGUGUGGAAAACCAGACAGUGGGUAGAUGUUAGUGGCCCAGGUGGCUCAACUGCUAAAGCCCAGCUUUGAUUCAUUAGGUUAAACAAGUCACACCUUCCGGGCAACUAACUACAUUUAGUACAAUUUUGAAAGAAAUCAAUUUAAAAAGAUACAACUUUUCAAAGGGCCAGGGGUUGAUUAGCAGCCACUGGAAGGACGUGUCAAAAUCUAGAAACUUGGGCCAGGCGUGGUGGCUCACGCCUGUAAUCCCAGCAUUUUGGGAGGCCGAGGCAGGUGGAUUGCCUGAGGUCGGGAUUUUGACACCAGCCUGACCAACAUGGAGAAACCUUG
RNAcentral lists this long non-coding RNA (2481 nucleotides) under Homo sapiens (human). RNAcentral's name for it is "HSALNT0130327". Lineage: Eukaryota; Metazoa; Chordata; Mammalia; Primates; Hominidae. The record is from RNAcentral.